AGAUCACCAGCCAAAGGAAUGAAGAUAAACUUUCUGUGUUUCGAAGACUUGUCUGCACAGCUGUGUUCAGGCACACAUGGAAUUCUGCUUGCCUAGCCAUUGUCAGGCGCGAAGAUUUGCCUGUUCUUCUUGAAAACAUCAGAUGCCGUCCAAUGAUUAACACUCUUCAAAGGUUGCAAACACCGAAUUCUCAAAAUGAUGCGUCACGGACGUUUGCCGCCUGCGUUCUCCGUGUUGUAUGGAAUGACGCGCUGUGGAGCAUAAUAUGCAACUGUGCCUACUUCACAAGCCUCAUCGUCAGAAUACCGAUC
RNAcentral lists this long non-coding RNA (311 nucleotides) under Dermacentor andersoni. RNAcentral describes it as "uncharacterized LOC126535445". The record is from RNAcentral. Lineage: Eukaryota; Metazoa; Arthropoda; Arachnida; Ixodida; Ixodidae.